UGGGCUCUUGGCGCAGCUGGUUAGCGCGCUUCCUUGACAUGGAAGAGGUCGCUGGUUCGAAUCCAGCAGAGCCCACCC
This 78-nucleotide transfer RNA is filed under the name bacterium HR21. Its description in RNAcentral is "tRNA-Val". It matches the Rfam family "tRNA". Rfam says of the family: Transfer RNA (tRNA) molecules are approximately 80 nucleotides in length. Their secondary structure includes four short double-helical elements and three loops (D, anti-codon, and T loops). Further hydrogen bonds mediate the characteristic L-shaped molecular structure. tRNAs have two regions of fundamental functional importance: the anti-codon, which is responsible for specific mRNA codon recognition, and the 3' end, to which the tRNAs corresponding amino acid is attached (by aminoacyl-tRNA synthetases). tRNAs cope with the degeneracy of the genetic code in two manners: having more than one tRNA (with a specific anti-codon) for a particular amino acid; and 'wobble' base-pairing, i.e. permitting non-standard base-pairing at the 3rd anti-codon position. The record is from RNAcentral.